Molecule: ribosomal RNA, 463 nt
Filed under: uncultured bacterium
Lineage: Bacteria
Description: partial 16S ribosomal RNA
Rfam family: Bacterial small subunit ribosomal RNA
Source: RNAcentral
GACGAACGCUGGCGGCGUGCUUAACACAUGCAAGUCGAACGGAAAGGCCUUUUCGGAGGUACUCGAGUGGCGAACGGGUGAGUAACACGUGGGUGAUCUGCCCUGCACUCUGGGAUAAGCCUGGGAAACUGGGUCUAAUACCGGAUAGGACCGCACUUUAGUGUGUGUGGUGGAAAGUUUUUUCGGUGUAGGAUGGGCCCGCGGCCUAUCAGCUUGUUGGUGGGGUAAUGGCCUACCAAGGCGGCGACGGGUAGCCGGACUGGGAGGUUGGUCGGCCACAUUGGGAAUGAGAUACGGCCCAGACUCCUACGGGAGGCAGGGGUGGGGAAUAUUGCACAAUGGGCGCGAGCCUGAUGCAGCGACGCCGCGGGGGGGAUGACGGCCUUCGAGUUGGAAACUCCGUUUGCCAGGGACGAAGCGUUUUGUGACGGUACCUGGAGAAGAAGCACCGGCUAACUACGUG